AAGCUAGGAUAAUAGGGGGCAUAAUUACCUUCACCUCCACCUUCAUUUGAACCGCCACCAAUGCUUGAGUGGCUAGAGUAUGGGGGAGUAGAAUAUGGAUCGUCUUGAUAGCACCUCCAAAAUUUAUUUUGUUCUUUCCUCCAAUACUUAGGAGUCAUCUUGGAUAGAUCCAUCUCCAAUAUCUCCAUUUUGGACUUCAUCAAUGUCACCGCAUGUAUCUUCUCAUACUUGAUCGCUAUCAUCACUGUAACAUCCUCAAUCUGGAGAGCAAAGCAGGAUAGGAGGGGCUUGGGUAAGUCUACCUCUGUUUUGACCCUAACAAAUUAGGACCAGAUGCCUCGUUUGAUCUCAGCCCUAUCAACCUUCGAGUAUACCACAAAGUGAGUUUCAUACAUUAGCUUGAUCUGUUCCUCGGUACGACAGUCCAUUGGAAGAUUGAAUAUCUAGAUCCAUAGCUUUGUUGAUUCUAGAGAUACUCUCUCUGGCAUGGGUUGUCUAUCCCACCUUUUCAUCACAAGCAGAGAGUUCGUUAUUACCCACGGCCGCUUAUCCUAGAUCUUAAUCAGUUGCCUCUCAUUUUUGAAAGCAAAAAUGAAAUAGUUCCCCUGAAUUUGUCAAAUAUUAAUGUUGCCUGCCUGACUCCAAGGUGCUCUGGUUGCUUCUUUCAUUAUCCCAGUUUGGAUUCCUAUGGUCGUCAUCAUCCUCCCCACUCAAUAGAAAUAGAGAGGCGUUCCUCCCUCCUUAGUCAUAGGUUGGAUACGCAUCGUUGGAAUCUUUGCUUCAAUGUUUUGAUUUUGUGCUUGGUGGAGGAGAUGUGCUAGAUCCAUGAUGUGCAAGUACGGUUGGUUUUGUAUGAGAAGGUUAUGUGUUCUUUUCUUGUUGUUAAGAAUUCUAUUGCUGGAGUGGAUGGUAUACGAGUGGUCGAAUCUCUUUCUAAAGGUGGAUUUAGUUUUCCUUCCUCUUUCUCCAAUCUUUAAUGCUCCACACGGAUAGUCAAUUGUUGCUUUCCUGUUAGGUAGUUGGUGGGCAUUGAUUUCCUAGGAAGGAAACUUGUUAGGUUGAAUCUUUGAUGAGUUGUUCUCUUACUGUGUCUUGUCGCCUUUAUUCCUCAGCUAAUUUUUUAUUCUACCUCUGCCAUCAAAAUCUUGGGAGAGGCUGACAUGAGUUGUAUUUGCCAAUAUGAUGUUCUUCUUUUUCUCAGUGGUCAUAAAGACUCCUAUUUUGCUUUUGUAGAUCUAAAUUUUCCUUGCAGAUUUCUCUUAGAUUCGUUGCUUCCUCAGUUCCCCACCAUUAAUAAAGUAGCUGUAAACAUUAAAGGCAUUCCCAUGGGGAAGAAUGUGAAUAGCAUCCAUAUGGGAUGAGAAGAACACUUUGCCUUGGGUCAGACAAACCAAAGGAAAAUGAAGGAUGUUGGAAGAAAACAGAUUCAUUUUUUACUAACCAUUGUUUUAGUAUGCUGGAUUUCACCUAUUUUUUGUUCUUCUGUAGUGACUGUCAGCAACCUCAGUUAAAUCUUCAUCUUUAUCUUCACUAGUAUUCAAAGUAGCAAGAUAUGCCUUUUCUUUCU
RNAcentral lists this long non-coding RNA (1567 nucleotides) under Linum usitatissimum (flax). Its description in RNAcentral is "long non-coding RNA (LUSI_LNC005156)". The record is from RNAcentral. Lineage: Eukaryota; Viridiplantae; Streptophyta; Magnoliopsida; Malpighiales; Linaceae.